This 499-nucleotide ribosomal RNA is filed under the name uncultured bacterium. RNAcentral's name for it is "SSU rRNA". It matches the Rfam family "Bacterial small subunit ribosomal RNA", at positions 1 to 497 of the family's 1533-position model. The record is from RNAcentral.
GGCUUAGAGUUUGAUCCUGGCUCAGAUUGAACGCUGGCGGAAUGCUUUACACAUGCAAGUCGAACGGCAGCACGGGGGCAACCCUGGUGGCGAGUGGCGAACGGGUGAGUAAUACAUCGGAACGUGCCCAGUCGUGGGGGAUAACGUAGCGAAAGCUACGCUAAUACCGCAUACGAACUCUGGUUGAAAGCGGGGGAUCGCAAGACCUCGCGCGAUUGGAGCGGCCGAUGGCAGAUUAGGUAGUUGGUGGGGUAAAGGCUCACCAAGCCGACGAUCUGUAGCUGGUCUGAGAGGACGACCAGCCACACUGGGACUGAGACACGGCCCAGACUCCUACGGGAGGCAGCAGUGGGGAAUUUUGGACAAUGGGCGCAAGCCUGAUCCAGCCAUUCCGCGUGCAGGAUGAAGGCCCUCGGGUUGUAAACUGCUUUUGUACGGAACGAAAAGGCCUGAGUUAAUACCUCGGGCUCAUGACGGUACCGUAAGAAUAAGCACCGGC